This 253-nucleotide ribosomal RNA is filed under the name uncultured bacterium. RNAcentral describes it as "partial 16S ribosomal RNA". It matches the Rfam family "Bacterial small subunit ribosomal RNA", at positions 524 to 776 of the family's 1533-position model. The record is from RNAcentral.
UACAGAGGGUGCAAGCGUUACUCGGAAUUACUGGGCGUAAAGCGCGCGUAGGUGGUUUGUUAAGUUGGAUGUGAAAUCCCCGGGCUCAACCUGGGAACUGCAUUCAAAACUGACAAGCUAGAGUAUGGUAGAGGGUGGUGGAAUUUCCUGUGUAGCGGUGAAAUGCGUAGAUAUAGGAAGGAACACCAGUGGCGAAGGCGACCACCUGGACUGAUACUGACACUGAGGUGCGAAAGCGUGGGGAGCAAACAGG